AGAAUCAACGCUGGCGGCGUGCCUAACACAUGCAAGUCGAACGAGAAAGUGGAGCAAUCCAUGAGUAAAGUGGCGACCGGGUGAGUAACACGUGACUAACCUACCUUUUAGUGGGGAAUAACCUCGGGAAACCAGGGCUAAUACCGCAUAAUGUCUUCGGACCAAAGGAGCAAUUCGCUGAAAGAGGGGGUCGCGGCCGAUUAGCUAGUUGGCGGGGUAACGGCCCACCAAGGCAAUGAUCGGUAGCCGGCCUGAGAGGGCGCACGGCCACACUGGAACUGAAACACGGUCCAGACUCCUACGGGAGGCAGCAGUGGGGAAUUUUGCGCAAUGGGGGAAACCCUGACGCAGCAACGCCGCGUGGAGGAUGAAGCCCCUUGGGGUGUAAACUCCUUUCGAUCGGGACGAUUAUGACGGUACCGGAUGAAGAAGCACCGGCUAACUCUGUGCCAGCAGCCGC
Molecule: ribosomal RNA, 460 nt
Filed under: uncultured bacterium
Lineage: Bacteria
Description: SSU rRNA
Rfam family: Bacterial small subunit ribosomal RNA
Source: RNAcentral